Anas platyrhynchos (mallard) is the source of this 1533-nucleotide long non-coding RNA. RefSeq lists it as uncharacterized. The record is from RefSeq and is a predicted model, not a curated record. NCBI's taxonomy places the organism in Eukaryota, Metazoa, Chordata, Aves, Anseriformes, Anatidae.
CCCCCCCCCCCGCCCACCCGGCCCCGUCACGGCACCGGCGGGCACGGCCCGGCUGCCGCCGUCAGCGCGUUGCCUUUCUUUUCGUUUUUCAGGGUUUCACCUGGAAACCUUGGCAGUUCUCCUACUGGAAGUCUGGACAAUUGUGGCAAUAGGCUUGCUUACCUCCAAGGCUGCUUCAGACUGUGCUUUGACUACUUUCCUACAGACCCUCUUAGAGGGCUUGCCAAAGAAGUACCACAGGCAUAAGAGAAGAGCACCGCAGAACAGCCUGGUAUUUAGUCAUUGGCUUGUAAAUAUCUUUUACAGAUUUCCUAUCUGCAUCUGAUGCUAUGCAUGGCAAAUCACUGAAUUAGCCAGCUUCUUUUACGCCUUUGUUAAGGGAGAGCUUGGAACAUUAAGUUUUAUGUUUAGGGACAAUAAAGCUACAUAUUCACAUCGGAAAAGUAAAAAACAAUAAAACACACAGGGCCAAGUUUUACCAAGGUCUGUGUACCCCUCCGUAAGGCUGUGGAGCCCAAGCACACCAACAGAGGAGGAGGAUGGCUUGCCUGGCUGCUGCCAGCUCGGACUGCAAGCGGGAGGAAAUCAGGAAGGAACAGAAGUUGCCAUACAGGAACAUUCCAUACCACUGGGAGCUCACAGCUCAAGUGGCAUUAUGAGUUUUAUCAAAUUGCCUUGAAAGAGAGCCGGAAGCUUCACUGCAUGGUAAACAAACACAUCCCUAAUUAUCAUCAGCUUUCCUAAAUUCCCUGUUUCCCCCAUCAUCUUGCCCCUUAAAAUAUUUUGGCUUGUACAGCCAAUUCAACUCAGCAGUCUUUAUGCUUCGGGAUGCAACAACUUUCCUGAUCUGUUUGAAUCCACAGAACUUUUAACAUGUGAAAAAGAAGGAGCAUUCAUUCCAGCUUCACCCCCCUCUCUUCAAAGCACUGUUGGAGAGGAGCAGUGCCUCUGGUUUCCCUUCACAUGCCAGGAUUUUGCAUUUCUAUCUCAACCGGGCCCCCCAGCCCCUGUCUGUACAGGCCUCAGUUCACCCAGAACACAGAGCAUCUUGUGCAAGCAGGUUGCAGCUGCAACAUUCUGUUUCAUUUCUGUGAUCUACCUAUCUUCUGCUGUGAUGUUAUUCUGAGACUUACGUUUUUUAUCUCGACUUAAAGUUUCUAAGUUUGUAACGAUUUUUGUUUAGAAGAUACUGUUUUCCCUGGUAUUCAUUACAAUUGGCUGUGGUUUGAGCAUGUCGGGAGCUUAGUCAGCUGCUGGUGCAAUGAGAGGCCAAGACUUGUUUUUCUUCUUUUUAUCCCUUUCAUCCAGUGGAAAAAGUUUCCUGCUGCUUUGCCUACUGAUAUUCGAUAUCCUGUCUCCAACUGAUGCACAUCUUUAAGUUUUAAAGAACAGCAUGUCAGCAAGCUCUGUUAAUUAUCACUCAUUUUGUCCUCUCCCCGCUCCCCCCCCCCCCUCCCCUUGCAUUGUGAGAUUAUUUUGGAGGAUGUACCUCUCAAGGAAAUGAUUGUUUCUGAUUCAACUUCACUCAUCUGU